Molecule: ribosomal RNA, 462 nt
Filed under: uncultured bacterium
Lineage: Bacteria
Description: partial 16S ribosomal RNA
Rfam family: Bacterial small subunit ribosomal RNA
Source: RNAcentral
GACGAACGCUGGCGGCGUGCUUAACACAUGCAAGUCGAGCGGAAAGGCCCUUCGGGGUACUCGAGCGGCGAACGGGUGAGUAACACGUGAGUAACCUGCCCCAGACUUUGGGAUAACCCUCGGAAACGGGGGCUAAUACCGGAUACGACACAGCUUCGCAUGGGGUCUGUGUGGAAAGUUUUUCGGUUUGGGAUGGGCUCGCGGCCUAUCAGCUUGUUGGUGGGGUGAUGGGCUACCGAGGCGACCGCGGGUAGCCGGCCUGAGAGGGCGACCGGCCACACUGGGACUGAGACACGGCACAGGCUCCUACGGGAGGCAGCAGGGGGGAAUAUUGCACAAUGGGCGGAAGGCUGAUGCAGCAACGCCGCGUGAUGGAUAACGGCCUUCGGGGUAUAAACCUCUUGCAGCAGGGACGAAGCGUAAGUGACGGUACCUGCAGAAGAAACGCCGGCCAACUACGUG